RNAcentral lists this ribosomal RNA (600 nucleotides) under Pachyprimnoa asakoae. RNAcentral describes it as "partial large subunit ribosomal RNA". It matches the Rfam family "Eukaryotic large subunit ribosomal RNA", at positions 375 to 858 of the family's 3401-position model. Lineage: Eukaryota; Metazoa; Cnidaria; Anthozoa; Scleralcyonacea; Primnoidae. The record is from RNAcentral.
UUUGAAAAGAGAGUUAAAAAGUGCGUGAAACCGUUGGCAGGGAAGCGAAUGGAGUUAGCAAAUCCGUGCUUGGCUUCGAUCUUUAURGACGAGCCUCGUACGAUCGCGUUACGUGGGCAGUGCACUUCCGGUUGGCGAAAGUCAACGUCGGUUCGCGCGGAGUCCAAAAGCUGCGAGUUCGGUAGAUCCCUAGGCUUGCGUGCAAUCCGUGCAGACCGGGCGCASCACGUGCCUGCAGGCUGCUGUCUUUAUCGUUGAAUCGKUUUCASAUCGCCGGGCGGACGGUUUUUCCUGUGCGUCCUGGUGCGGGCAUUCAAACGGUAUSGCAAGCAGACACGACSUGYUGAKGACGUUGACCGUCUCGCGGCUCCAUCCGACCCGUCYYGAAACACGGACCAAGGAGUCUAACAUGUGCGCAAGUCUCAGAGCGAUCGAAACUCAUUGGGCGUAAUGAAAGUGAAWGCAKUUUCGGCUGCAGAGAUGAGAGGCGUAGCGGCAUCAUCGACCGACCUAUUCUACUCUUAGAAAGGUUUGAGUUAGAGCGUACCUGUUGGGACCCGAAAGAUGGWGAACUAUGCUUGAAUAAGGCGAAGCCAGCGG